RNAcentral lists this ribosomal RNA (445 nucleotides) under uncultured bacterium. RNAcentral's name for it is "bacterial SSU rRNA". It matches the Rfam family "Bacterial small subunit ribosomal RNA", at positions 28 to 507 of the family's 1533-position model. The record is from RNAcentral.
GAUGAACGCUGGCGGCAGGCCUAACACAUGCAAGUCGAGCGCGACCCCAACUUCGGUUGGUAAGUUGAGCGGCGGACGGGUGAGUAACGCGUGGGAAUAUGCCCUUCACUACGGAAUAGCCUCGGGAAACUGAGAGUAAUACCGUAUACGCCCUUCGGGGGAAAGAGUUUAUCGGUGAAGGAUUAGCCCGCGUUGGAUUAGGUAGUUGGUGGGUAACGGCCUACCAAGCCGACGAUCCAUAGCUGGUUUGAGAGGAUGAUCAGCCACACUGGGACUGAGACACGGCCCAGACUCCUACGGGAGGCAGCAGUGGGGAAUCUUAGACAAUGGGGGCAACCCUGAUCUAGCCAUGCCGCGUGAGUGAUGAAGGCCUUAGGGUUGUAAAGCUCUUUCAGCUGGGAAGAUAAUGACGGUACCAGCAGAAGAAGCCCCGGCUAACUCCGUG